UGCAAGAUCAGAGCGGAUUGAUGGGAGCUUGCUCCCUGAUAUCAGCGGCGGACGGGUGAGUAACACGUGGGUAACCUGCCUGUAAGACUGGGAUAACUCCGGGAAACCGGGGCUAAUACCGGAUAACUCAUUUCCUCGCAUGAGGAAAUGUUGAAAGGUGGCUUUUACCUACCACUUACAAAUGGACCCGCGGCGCAUUACCUAGUUGGUGAGGUAACGGCUCACCAAGGCAACAAUGCGUACCCAACCUGAAAGGGUGAUCGGCCACACUGGGACUGAAACACGGCCCAAAUUCCUACGGGAGGCAGCAGUAGGGAAUCUUCCGCAAUGGACGAAAGUCUGACGGACCACCGCCGCGUGAGUGAUGAAGGUUUUCGGACC
Molecule: ribosomal RNA, 381 nt
Filed under: Bacillus sp. GDB16
Lineage: Bacteria; Bacillati; Bacillota; Bacilli; Caryophanales; Bacillaceae
Description: bacterial SSU rRNA
Rfam family: Bacterial small subunit ribosomal RNA
Source: RNAcentral